This 873-nucleotide ribosomal RNA is filed under the name Tegolophus ringsi. RNAcentral describes it as "partial large subunit ribosomal RNA". It matches the Rfam family "Eukaryotic large subunit ribosomal RNA", at positions 366 to 944 of the family's 3401-position model. The record is from RNAcentral. Lineage: Eukaryota; Metazoa; Arthropoda; Arachnida; Trombidiformes; Eriophyidae.
AAAUAGAACUUUGCAGAGAGAGUUAACAGGGCGUGAAACCGUUAAUUGAGAAACGAAUCGGAGCCACGAAGUCGUUUCGCUGUUUAGUUGGAUCGGGUUCAGUUUGUGAGCUAAAACUCAUAGGCGUAUUCUCGUGUCCGACCAAACCUUGUAAGCGUACACUGCAACCAGUUAGACGAUUGGCCAUGGGCCCAGUUGUCUGGAUUAGUAGUAGCGCUGUGUACCUCGGUGCAUUUGUGUUGCUGGAUUCAUGGCAAGUGAACUAUGGCCAAAUACUGACUGGCGAAAUGAAAAUCGCGUUUUACGCGUUUUAAAGAAUGCAGCUAAUUGUAUUGGUGUCUACACAUUAGACUAGUGGGUCUAAGCUCAGCACUUUUGAAUUUAGACUUGCUUGCUACCAAUGGGGCAACUCUUGGUGCUUGUAUAGCUUCUAUCUAAUCGGGUGUUGACUUGGCACGCUGCGUUCUAAUGUGCUACGAUCGGGCGCUAAUAUAAGUUGGUUCGCAAUUGAUUGGCGGUGAGUAGGUCGGCUUUCCGAACGACCCGUCUUGAAACACGGACCAAGGAGUCUAAUUAGGUAUCGAGUCGAUCGGUCUUGAAUAGGCCAGACUAGUGCGAGCGUGCUGAAUGAAGGCGUAGAGAAAUCGUGUGAUCAGGGAGCAACAACAGCUCUUAUGCGCAACAUGUGCCUGUUCGUAUAGCAAUGUAGCAAUAAUUGCUGGCGGAGCAAAGAGAUACCUGAUUGGGACCCGAAAGAUGGUGAGCUUGGGCAAAUUGAAGCCAGAGGAAACUCUGGUGGAGGAUUGUAGCGAUUCUGACGUGCAAAUCGAUCGUCAGACCUGAGUAUAGGGGCGAAAGACUAAUCGAACCAUC